This 253-nucleotide ribosomal RNA is filed under the name uncultured bacterium. RNAcentral's name for it is "partial 16S ribosomal RNA". It matches the Rfam family "Bacterial small subunit ribosomal RNA", at positions 524 to 776 of the family's 1533-position model. The record is from RNAcentral.
UACAGAGGUCCCGAGCGUUGUUCGGAUUCACUGGGCGUAAAGGGUGCGUAGGUGGCCUGAAAAGUUUGAUGUGAAAGCUCAGGGCUUAACCCUGAAAUGGCAUUGAAUACUGUUGGGCUGGAGGUUUGGAGGGGGGACUGGAAUUCUUGGUGUAGCGGUGAAAUGCGCAGAUAUCAGGAGGAACACCGGUGGCGAAGGCGGGUCUCUGGGCCGAAAUUGACGCUGAGGAGCGAAAGCGUGGGGAGCAAACAGG